CCCCUAGAUGUUCUGGGCCGCACGCGCGCUACACUGAACAGUUCAACAAGUCUUAACCUUGGCCGAUAGGUCUGGGUAAUCUUUGAACGCUGUUCGUGAUUGGGAUAGACCUUUGCAAUUAUGGGUCUUCAACGAGGAAUUCCUAGUAAACGCAAGUCAUCAGCUUGCAUUGAUUACGUCCCUGCCCUUUGUACACACCGCCCGUCGCACCUACCGAUUGAAUGGUCCGGUUAAAUCUCGGGACGGCGGCUUGGUCGCUUGCGUCCGACUGCUGAAACUUGAUUAAACCAUAUCAUUUAGAGGAAGGUGAAGUCGUAACA
RNAcentral lists this ribosomal RNA (320 nucleotides) under uncultured eukaryote. RNAcentral's name for it is "partial 18S ribosomal RNA". It matches the Rfam family "Eukaryotic small subunit ribosomal RNA", at positions 1470 to 1796 of the family's 1831-position model. The record is from RNAcentral.